RNAcentral lists this transfer RNA (88 nucleotides) under bacterium. Its description in RNAcentral is "tRNA-Ser". It matches the Rfam family "tRNA". Rfam says of the family: Transfer RNA (tRNA) molecules are approximately 80 nucleotides in length. Their secondary structure includes four short double-helical elements and three loops (D, anti-codon, and T loops). Further hydrogen bonds mediate the characteristic L-shaped molecular structure. tRNAs have two regions of fundamental functional importance: the anti-codon, which is responsible for specific mRNA codon recognition, and the 3' end, to which the tRNAs corresponding amino acid is attached (by aminoacyl-tRNA synthetases). tRNAs cope with the degeneracy of the genetic code in two manners: having more than one tRNA (with a specific anti-codon) for a particular amino acid; and 'wobble' base-pairing, i.e. permitting non-standard base-pairing at the 3rd anti-codon position. The record is from RNAcentral. RNAcentral also lists the same sequence under 5 other names.
GGAGAGGUGGCCGAGUGGCUUAAGGCGCACGCUUGGAAAGCGUGUGUACGUUAAUAGCGUACCGUGGGUUCGAAUCCCACCCUCUCCG